CCGCCGUCGCAGUCCUCGCCGCCUCAAACCGACGCCGUCCUCGCCGCCGCCCUCCGAGCUCGACGCCGUUCGAGCUCCCGCCGUCGGACUCCCUGCACUCGACGCCGCUUCUGCCGACGCCAGCAGCCGCAGCACCCUUCGCCGUUGCUCCCGACGCCGAGCUAACCGAGACCAAAGGGAGAGGGAGGACAAACUCAGAGCCACCGCGCCCGAGCGCUGCCUGACUCCGCCCGCGACGACCUGAUGCUUCCGCUCGCCUCCGACGUAGCCGCCGCCCAUCCUCGCAGACCCCGAUGUCGUCGUUGCCGUUCGCCGCGUAGCCGCCGCCACCUGCUGCGCUCAACGCCGCUCGAGCCGUCGCCGCCCUCCGUCCCGACGAGCUGCUUGCUGACCCUCACCGAACCGCCGCCUUCCUGCUGCUACUGCCGUCGUCCGCCACCCACCGCGUCUCCGCCGCCGAGUCGCUGACAUCUUGGCCAUCCCUCUCGGCGCCGCGAAGAAACCCUAGGGUUUCGGCCACGAACCGGGUCGUGCGAGCCGGGCCGGGUCCAGUCAACCGGGUAGGGUUUUUGGCGUAUUGGGCUGGGCAUACUUGGGUCGGGCUUGGUUUAUUUUUGCAUGUGGGCUUGUGGGCUUGUGGGCUGGUCUCAUGCAGGCUUAGGAAAUAGGUGGGCCUUUUUGACUUUCUUUGGGCCCUGGUUAAAAUAUCCCAAAAAAAAAGAAUUUUGGGCCCACUCGGGCCUGCUGUCGCCGAUCGGGCCGAACCCGGGUCCGGUCUCGGACCGGACCCGAUCCGAGCCACCGGGUCGGGU
RNAcentral lists this long non-coding RNA (812 nucleotides) under Eucalyptus grandis. Its description in RNAcentral is "long non-coding RNA (EGRA_LNC000507)". The record is from RNAcentral. Lineage: Eukaryota; Viridiplantae; Streptophyta; Magnoliopsida; Myrtales; Myrtaceae.